UACGUAGGGGGCAAGCGUUAUCCGGAAUCACUGGGUGUAAAGGGAGCGUAGACGGCUGUGCAAGCCUGAAGUGAAAGGCGGGGGCCCAACCCCCGGACUGCUUUGGGAACUGUACGGCUGGAGUACUGGAGAGGAAAGUGGAAUUCCUAGUGUAGCGGUGAAAUGCGUAGAUAUUAGGAGGAACACCAGUGGCGAAGGCGACUUUCUGGACAGUAACUGACGUUGAGGCACGAAAGUGUGGGGAGCAAACAGG
RNAcentral lists this ribosomal RNA (253 nucleotides) under uncultured Eubacteriales bacterium. RNAcentral describes it as "uncultured Clostridiales bacterium partial 16S ribosomal RNA". It matches the Rfam family "Bacterial small subunit ribosomal RNA", at positions 524 to 776 of the family's 1533-position model. Lineage: Bacteria; Bacillati; Bacillota; Clostridia; Eubacteriales. The record is from RNAcentral.